AUAGAGUUUAAUAUAUGUAGUAAUUAAUUGAGUUAUAAAUAAAUUUUUGGUUAUUAUGAAAUUUAUUUAAUUGGGGUGAUUAAGAGAUAAAUAAAACUCUUUUUGAAUAUUAAUAAUAUAUUUAGUUAUAUGAUCCAUAAUUAAUGAUUAUAAGAUUAAAUUACCUUAGGGAUAACAGCAUAAUUCCUUUUAAGAGUUCAUAUUGAAAAAGGAGAUUGUGACCUCGAUGUUGGAUUAAGAUUAGUUUUGGGUGCAGAUGUUCAAUAACUAGGUCUGUUCGACCUUAAAAUUCUUACA
RNAcentral lists this ribosomal RNA (297 nucleotides) under Pseudovates iheringi. RNAcentral's name for it is "partial 16S ribosomal RNA". The stretch from base 171 to 297 matches the Rfam family "Bacterial large subunit ribosomal RNA", at positions 2473 to 2600 of the family's 2925-position model. The record is from RNAcentral. Lineage: Eukaryota; Metazoa; Arthropoda; Insecta; Mantodea; Mantidae.